UAUUCCUUCGGGAGUCCUUUUUACAAAGGACCCGAGUUCGGAGUCCUCGGUCCUCUGGAUCGUGUUCUCUUAGAUGCGUCGCACCGAUCGCCUGAUGGGUCUCUAAUGCCUAAGCGUGGAGUUCCGUCAGAGUCUGAGACGUGCUUGACCGGGUGUUGAGCUCGCGUCACCAAGUCUGCCUCACAAGCAGUACUACAACGC
Molecule: unclassified non-coding RNA, 201 nt
Filed under: uncultured Tulasnella
Lineage: Eukaryota; Fungi; Basidiomycota; Agaricomycetes; Cantharellales; Tulasnellaceae
Description: sequence contains ITS2
Source: RNAcentral